RNAcentral lists this ribosomal RNA (309 nucleotides) under uncultured bacterium. RNAcentral describes it as "partial 16S ribosomal RNA". It matches the Rfam family "Bacterial small subunit ribosomal RNA", at positions 504 to 808 of the family's 1533-position model. The record is from RNAcentral.
AGAGACAGCAGCAGCCACGGGAAUACGUAGGGGGCAAGCGUUAUCCGGAAUUACUGGGUGUAAAGGGAGCGUAGACGGUUAAACAAGUCUGAAGUGAAAUGCCGGGGCUCAACCCCGGAGCUGCUUUGGGAACUGUAGAACUGGAGUGUCGGAGGGGUAAGCGGAAUUCCCAGUGUAGCGGUGAAAUGCGUAGAUAUUGGGAGGAACACCGGCGGCGAAGGCGGCUUACUGGACGACAACUGACGUUGAGGCUCGAAGGCGUGGGUAGCAAACAGGAUUAGAUACCCCGUGUAGUCCCUGUCUCUUAUA